UACGUAGGGUGCGAGCGUUGUCCGGAAUUAUUGGGCGUAAAGAGCUCGUAGGCGGUGUGUCACGUCGGCCGUGAAAACCUGCAGCUUAACUGUGGGCGUGCGGUCGAUACGGGCAUCACUGGAGUUCGGUAGGGGAGACUGGAAUUCCUGGUGUAGCGGUGAAAUGCGCAGAUAUCAGGAGGAACACCGAUGGCGAAGGCAGGUCUCUGGGCCGAUACUGACGCUGAGGAGCGAAAGCGUGGGGAGCGAACAGG
This 254-nucleotide ribosomal RNA is filed under the name uncultured bacterium. RNAcentral's name for it is "partial 16S ribosomal RNA". It matches the Rfam family "Bacterial small subunit ribosomal RNA", at positions 524 to 776 of the family's 1533-position model. The record is from RNAcentral.